This is a long non-coding RNA of Cotesia glomerata, 399 nucleotides long. RefSeq lists it as uncharacterized. Lineage: Eukaryota; Metazoa; Arthropoda; Insecta; Hymenoptera; Braconidae. The record is from RefSeq and is a predicted model, not a curated record. The transcript has 4 exons.
CGAUCAGCGGCACUCGCGGGACGAAGACUCUCUAUAUAAACACCAUUUGCAUUGUCUCGUACUGUCAAGCCUAGCUCACCUGACAAGUACGUUUCAACUCUAUAAGAAGAGGCUCUGGAAUAGCUGUUCGAACUUCAGCCAUACUUGCAACAUUGUAUUCGAUGGACCAUCUGGCUUGAUACCUGUGAUAAUAAGAGGUGUUGCUUCACCACCUCGGAGAGUGACUCCCAAAAAACCAUUUUCUCUCUUAACACGAACUUUAGUGACUUUUGAGAAAACUCCAAUUAAAGGUCAACACUGAAGACGACAAUAACAUAGAUCUUAACAGUGAGAUAUGUCAACAAAUCGACAACAGUAAAAUAAAAAAUAGCCAAGAGCCCUGUUUAAAAUUUCCAAUAG